Molecule: ribosomal RNA, 502 nt
Filed under: uncultured archaeon
Lineage: Archaea
Description: bacterial SSU rRNA
Rfam family: Archaeal small subunit ribosomal RNA
Source: RNAcentral
AAUCUUCACAAUGUGCGAAAGCACGAUGAGGGGAUCCCAAGUGCUGGCACGUAAGUGUCAGCUGUUUCUUAGUCUAAAAAACUGAGAGAGUAAGGGCUGGGUAAGACGGGUGCCAGCCGCCGCGGUAAUACCUGCAGCUCAAGUGGUGGCCGCUAUUAUUGGGCCUAAAACGUCCGUAGCCUGUUUAGUAAAUGCUUGGGUAAAUUGUGUAGCUUAACUAUACGAAUACCGGGUAGACUGCUAAACUUGGGACCGGGAGAGGCUAGAGGUACUCCUGGGGUAGAGGUGAAAUUCUGUAAUCCUAGGGGGACCACCAGUGGCGAAGGCGUCUAGCUAGAACGGGUCUGACGGUGAGGGACGAAGCCCUGGGGCGCAAACCGGAUUAGAUACCCGGGUAGUCCAGGGUGUAAACGCUGCUUGCUUGAUGUUAGUUGGGCUCCGAGCCCAACUAGUGUCGGAGAGAAGUUGUUAAGCAAGCUGCCUGGAAGUACGUCGCAAGACU